ACGAACGCUGGCGGCGUGCCUAAUACAUGCAAGUCGAGCGGACGAAUCGAAAGCUUGCUUUUGAUUCGUUAGCGGCGGACGGGUGAGUAACACGUGGGCAACCUGCCCUGUAGACGGGGAUAACACCGAGAAAUCGGUGCUAAUACCGGAUAACACGAAAUGUCGCAUGACGUUUCGUUGAAAGACGGCGCAAGCUGCCGCUACAGGAUGGGCCCGCGGCGCAUUAGCUAGUUGGUGAGGUAACGGCUCACCAAGGCGACGAUACGUAGCCGACCUGAGAGGGUGAUCGGCCACACUGGGACUGAGACACGGCCCAGACUCCUACGGGAGGCAGCAGUAGGGAAUCUUCCGCAAUGGACGAAAGUCUGACGGAGCAACGCCGCGUGAGCGAAGAAGGCCUUCGGGUCGUAAAGCUCUGUUGUUAGGGAAGAACAAGUAACGCAGUAACUGGCGUUACCGUGACGGUACCUAACGAGAAAGCCACGGCUAACUACGUG
Molecule: ribosomal RNA, 497 nt
Filed under: uncultured bacterium
Lineage: Bacteria
Description: partial 16S ribosomal RNA
Rfam family: Bacterial small subunit ribosomal RNA
Source: RNAcentral